Molecule: ribosomal RNA, 253 nt
Filed under: uncultured bacterium
Lineage: Bacteria
Description: partial 16S ribosomal RNA
Rfam family: Bacterial small subunit ribosomal RNA
Source: RNAcentral
UACGAAGGGGGCUAGCGUUGUUCGGAUUUACUGGGCGUAAAGCGCACGUAGGCGGAUCGUUAAGUCGGGGGUGAAAUCCUGGAGCUCAACUCCAGCACUGCCUUCGAUACUGGCGAUCUUGAGUCCGGAAGAGGUGAGUGGAACUCCUAGUGUAGAGGUGGAAUUCGUAGAUAUUAGGAAGAACACCAGUGGCGAAGGCGGCUCACUGGUCCGGUACUGACGCUGAGGUGCGAAAGCGUGGGGAACAAACAGG